Molecule: ribosomal RNA, 227 nt
Filed under: uncultured bacterium
Lineage: Bacteria
Description: partial 16S ribosomal RNA
Rfam family: Bacterial small subunit ribosomal RNA
Source: RNAcentral
AGUAACGCGUGAGGAACCUGCCUCAAAGAGGGGGACAACAGUUGGAAACGACUGCUAAUACCGCAUAAGCCCACAGCUCGGCAUCGAGCAGAGGGAAAAGGAGCAAUCCGCUUUGAGAUGGUCUCGCGUCCGAUUAGCUAGUUGGUGAGGUAAUGGCCCACCAAGGCGACGAUCGGUAGCCGGACUGAGAGGUUGAACGGCCACAUUGGGACUGAGACACGGCCCAG